Long non-coding RNA from Leopardus geoffroyi (Geoffroy's cat), 872 nucleotides. RefSeq lists it as uncharacterized. The record is from RefSeq and is a predicted model, not a curated record. Lineage: Eukaryota; Metazoa; Chordata; Mammalia; Carnivora; Felidae. The transcript has 2 exons.
AGAUGCUUAACCGACAGAGCCACCCGGGCGCCCCUCAAAUCACGUUUGAGAUGAGGUAAACUGAGGCACAGAAGGAGUGACGGAUUUAUCUGUGUCCCCGCGACUUGUUCGAUAGGACCCUGGCUCCCGGGACUCACAUUCCUCUGCUCCCUCCCAUCAUUCACUGACACCCUAAGUACUCAAACCAUCCCCAUUAUCUGGUCACUCGCUGCUGCAAAACCUUCUGUGGACCAGCCAAGCCCCCGCUGGUCUGCACUAUCCCCUGCCCUCAAACCUCCAGUCCCACCGUCACCAACUCCGCUGUCACAGACCAGUCAGACUGCCCAAAGAACACAAGCCACGCUCACAUGUCACCACCUCUGAGAACAUCUUGCCCAUUUCUUUCUGAACAGGUGCUGCCUCUUCCAGGAAGCCUUCCCUGACUGCUCUCAUUGAGUUCUUUCCAGAGCUCUCACGCCCGGCCACAUGAGGUGACUCCGAACAGACCUGCCUGUGCUUCGUCUGCAAAUUGCUUAACCGUAUUAGUCCCUAGAGCAGGGAACACAUCUUCCCACCAGCCCGAUGUACCAGGGCAAAAAGAAAAGACUCAAUAUCCCAAUCCAACAGAACACCAGUGGUGGAGAAGUUACCUCCGCAACAUCAACAUGUUCAGAGAUAGCUAUUUACGAGUUCAACUUUGUAAACAUUCUUACCCCCAACACCGCCAUAUCGCAGGAGUACUGGAUGUCCACCCUGUCCGACUGGCCUCCAAAUGGCACUGUUCCUGUUUCCCUGGACACCCUGACUGCCCCAACCAUCCUUGCCUCUGUAUCACAAAGCUAAUGAUUCUUUUUUUGUUUUUAAUGUUUAUUUAUUUUUGAGAGAGAGAGAAU